AAGUUUUUAUUAGUUUCAAUUUCUCGUUUGUAUAGCUUGGAAGAAUAAAGUCAUAACCGGGCAUUUGACGAGCGCAUUGUUUUGUAUUCAUUGAGAUUAAGUGCCUACCUCUCAAAAAUGUGUAAAUGUUUGGCAGGAAAUGUAGCGUGUUGCUGCUUCAAUUGCGCGCUCAGUGUUCUAAUAUCAAUUCUAAGCGCAUUUUUUGUGGUGUUCCUAAUAGUCGGCGUAAUAGUGUACUUUGUUUAUUAUCAUGAGCAAGAAAAUGACACUGCAAGCAAAAUAAGGGACGGGCUAAAAGCAGGGCUUGACAAUGGAUUGGAUAAAAUAAAUGAUGCUUUAUCAAGAAAAUAAGGACUACUGUGCCAUGCCAGGCAUAAAAAUGCCCAACACUAUUUUAAAAUGAAUCUCGAUUGCAUUGCAUAAAAUUAUAUUACACACUACAUCUUCAAAACCUUGUAAGCAACGCUCAUAAAUCAAAAAGAUUAAAUUGAUGGCCUAAUUAUAAUUAAAUAUUCUAAACAAAGACAAAUCUAUAUGUAGGUACAAAUAUGCUCUGAAUUAGUAUACAUAGACCUCAUCAUAGACCUCUCAUAUGUAACAUUUAAUAUGUCAUAUUCUGAAAAAAGAAAAGAAACUGUCCUUGCUCGACUUCGUUAAUUUUCAGGAAUGCACUUUUUUACAGUAUUAUUUAUUAUGUAUUGAAAUUGAUAUCAAAUACGAAUGUAUGUUUCUAGAAGCCUUUUGUUUUAAUUUAAAACUCUCAAUGCAACUGCAAUAAAAACAGUUCAUUUAAUUGAUUGUAUGCAUUGUACCAUAGCAUAAAAGAAAUAAAAAUAAUUAUGUUUCCCCAGCAAGUAUACAAAUGUUAACAACGGAACAAUACGAACAUAUGCCAAUGUUAAGUCCAAAAUUAUUCCGCAUUUGUACACUUGUGAUCAACACUUCUGGAUUUUACUAUAACUCACUUUAAUUUCUGCACCAGGACAUGAAUUCGUUAAGAGUAAAAUUUGUCAAACAUCAAUAAUCAAAUUUUCUAUAAACAGUGAUUUUUAUGAAGAUUAUGCUUCCUAUAAUAAAUAAUUUUUAUUCAUGUACAACACAAUUUCAGACAUACUAAUAUAUAUUAAAUAUUUGUUGUAAGGGAAUAAUCAAUUACACGGACAUCAUUUUUACAUCAAACGCAUUCGAAUGUUUUUAUGCAAACAAAUGUGAGUAAUAAACGAUGAGCUUUGUAAAUGAAAGUUAUGUGAAACAAUAAAUGUGCAUUUAUAUAUGUACUAUCUAUAUUCAGUUUUAAGCAAAAUUUUGUUAUUUAAUAGUGUACAAUUUCGAGAUAAUAUUCUUUUUUACAAUAAACUUUAUACUUACCGGUAAAAUAAAAUAUAAUGUU
Molecule: long non-coding RNA, 1390 nt
Organism: Anastrepha ludens (Mexican fruit fly)
Lineage: Eukaryota; Metazoa; Arthropoda; Insecta; Diptera; Tephritidae
Exons: 3
Source: RefSeq, a predicted model, not a curated record